GGGGCCGUAAAGGUUUCGACAGGUUAGUAAAAACUAAUCCGUGAUUCAGGUCGAGAGUGAGUACCAUCUCGUAAAUCAGACUCAAACUAAAUAUAGAUGCAAACAACAUCGUAAAAUUUGAGCGUCAGGCAGUAGCUGCCUAAUCUAAAAACACUUUUUUAGAUUGCUCGUCUCUAGUUUGACUCCGUUAAGGACUAAAGACAAAACCCCAACGGAUGCGCUGAAUAAUUUUCUUUGGUAGGUUAUUUAAGCAAAGAUUUUAUCAAAGAAUCCUGCCAUCAGGGAUAAUUGAUGACCCCCGCUCUAAGGGUAAAAAGAGCUAAACCUGUGAACGAAUGGGCAAGUGAAUAGCUGGCUUGGACAGCAGUUCGACUCUGCUCGGCUCCACUC
This 390-nucleotide transfer-messenger RNA is filed under the name Xenococcaceae. RNAcentral describes it as "Waterburya sp012034765 Standard tmRNA". It matches the Rfam family "transfer-messenger RNA". From Rfam's summary of the family: Bacterial tmRNA, also known as 10Sa RNA or SsrA, is named for its dual tRNA and mRNA-like properties. Its role is to liberate the mRNA from a stalled ribosome. The record is from RNAcentral. Lineage: Bacteria; Bacillati; Cyanobacteriota; Cyanophyceae; Pleurocapsales. RNAcentral also lists the same sequence under 1 other name.